Molecule: long non-coding RNA, 448 nt
Filed under: Xyrichtys novacula (pearly razorfish)
Lineage: Eukaryota; Metazoa; Chordata; Actinopteri; Labriformes; Labridae
Source: RNAcentral
CCAACCCAACAAACAACCCAACUUUUUACAAAAUUUAUUAACAAAAAAUCUUUUAAUAUCAGUCAAUAGUUAUUAGUUAUUGAUUAUUUGGUAAUAUAUCGAUAUCUCUGUGUUCUCUUAUGUCUGUGUUGUCAACAUUUGAACAUUUUUGAGCGGUCCGCUCUUUCUGACUGUAAACAAAGCCGUUCUCCACCUCCUCUAACCUGAUUGGUUGUGAGGCAGACGCUGCUCCCCCGUGUCGUUCAGGAGCCCAAACAAAGUUAGCGUGCUACAAUAUCGGACAGUAGAAACCAACCAGAAAGUUCGGAAAAUUGUCUGAAUCCUCCUUUGGCCACGACUGCCGACACAAGCAAGAAAACAAAGUAAAUACCGGAGACUCUGGAGGAAUAACGGGCGCUUAAAACGGAGGUAGACCGGACAAGAGCUAAAAAGCCGGGUCAACAUAAAC